Molecule: RNA transcript, 684 nt
Organism: Varroa destructor (honeybee mite)
Lineage: Eukaryota; Metazoa; Arthropoda; Arachnida; Mesostigmata; Varroidae
Source: RefSeq, a predicted model, not a curated record
UAUGAUGAUUACAUUAGCCCGGUUAUGGUGGAUCGUUUGUUUGCCCAAUUCAGCAUUUUGGAUGCCUGCCUCUAUGAUUUGGUAGAUUCAAAUGUAGGCAAAGUCCGUUCAAAAUCGAAGCAUGCAUUGAGUAGAGCGAACUCGUAUGCGUCGUUUACAUUAUGUAUGUUCUUCGUUGGUAUUCAGUACAUGAGCUUCAUUUCAUUUACCAUUUUGUACCUAAAAAACAAGUGGUGGUUUCGGUUCGAAUCCGUUUAAGCUUAAGUACCGGAUGUGAAACACGUAAAAACAAUUUGCCUGUUGAAGCACCAUAAUGGAUGGAAAAAUCACGCGCUUGGAGGUGUUGUGGGUGAUGUAUUGAAUCCGACGGCUGGCUACUCGGUAGAAAGCACACUUCCGAGUCCAGGCCAAUCUACGACAUGAAAGCGACAUGCGACUAUUCGCUUAAUCCCACCCGGAAAUGUGGCCAAUGACCAGGGUUUGGACUCUAACAUUCAAUACAAUUGGGCCUCCAACGUCAGUUUUGUCACUGAGCUCUAUCGGGAUACAGCAACUACUACAAUGGCCGUACCGCAAGGAUAGCCACCAAACACAACUUCAGUAAUGGGGUGUUACCAGAUAUUUUCGACUCACCUCCAUCUGUGAGCAGAAGUCCUAUUUUCCCGUUUGCCGCCAACAUCCUUU